GGCGUAGCAGCCCGAGCCAGACGACCAGACGACCAGACCUAGCCACGCGACGUGAGUUCCAGACCUCCAGGGAGCCGAGGCAGCCGCCGCCACCGGCCGGUGACUCCCCUCCAGUCCCCUGCUCGGCUGCUCCCCUCCCCUGACUUCGGCGCUCCCAUCCAGUCCCCUGCAGGCUGCAGCCCUGCUCGCCUGCUCGGCUGCGCUCCUCGCCUGGCUCGCCUGCUCUGCUUCUCCAGCCGGGCGCGGGGCGCCGCCGCGCCGGCUCUGCUCCUGCCCUGCUCCACCCUCCAGUCCUGCCGGCCUCUCCCGCCUCCCGGUCUCCCCCGGGCAACUGCUGCCCCGACUGCAGCCGAGAAUUAAAAGAUGAAGAUAUUUUAUUCAUCGGUGGCCGCAAUGGAAGUGUCUAAAUUUUUGGUGCAAUUGAGCCAUAUUUGAGAUAUUCUUUUGAGGUAGCUAUAGCCUGAUGGACGUUAAGUUUUUCUCUCGCGACGAAUUUUUUUUUUUGGGCCCGGGGCUUGCUCCAAUCCUGGCUCCGCCACUGGUCCCAGCUAUGUCCGACCUUUCUCAUUCCCUUCACUCUCAUCAGCUCCUCCUCUCGGUUUGAUUAGCCUCCCCAUCUGUCCACACUGCCAGUCCCUGGUUUCUACAGGUUUGUGAGACUUCAAGGUUUACAAGCUAGUGUGGCUUUAGUUGAGUGAGUGGAGACAGGUCAGGAAUCACCUCCCUAUUCAGCUAGGCUACACCAUCUUGAGAUUCAACCUGAACCAUGUUCCUUGAAAAGACAAGAGUAAACGGGAAAACUUACUUUGGGUUCAUAUGAUGCAGACCAAGAAUAAACGGUGCAGAUUUGGCUAGCAGCAAAAGAUGAAUGAAUAUAGUGAUGGAAAGCCAAAUUUAAAGUGGUAAUUUCCUUUCACUUCUUAUCCAGUCAUUUGCUAUAAUAAUUGAUAAGUGUUCCUUUCAGUGUUUUGAACUAAUUAUGGUUCCAGAAAUAGGUCGUAUGUAUGUUGCAAAUGAAAUGGUACAGAGCUUCAUCUAAUUUAUUGGUGUGAAUUGUUCUCAUCAUGUACCUGCCCUUUUAGUUAGCGGGAAACAUUGUGAUGCUCAGAUCUUAUGUGCCUAUUUUGAGAGCAGAAAAAUACGGAAAAUCAGCAUCUGAAGCUAAAUAAAAUGCACGCACUAUCCUCUUCUUCUGUGUAAUGGUGAGCUACACUUUGAUCUUGUCUCCACUGCUCUCAGUUGGGUUCUACCACACAUUACUAAAACUUUUUUUUGAACCGUAAAUGACCGUAGGAGACUUUUCCUACAGUCUUUGUAUUAAAAGAGUUAGUAAAGUCUUGUCAACCGAGUUACAUUGGGGGGGAGGGGGGCUGAGUACUUACAUUGUGUGGAGUGGUGCGGCAGGGUUAAAUGAGUGUGAUCCUAGAUAGGGGGCCACCCAUUACUAAAGCUUACACAUCAUUUUCAUUUAGAUUUGGUUAUUAUUGGCAUUAGAUUGUGCACACUGAAUGUGAGAACAGGGUCAGGUACUACCACGACGUACAUUCUACUGUGUCCAGUCCUCAAUGCUUAAUGUCCAUCUCUUUGUAGCUUUGCAAAGUUUCGGUGUAUCAUUGUCGUUUUACUGAUGGUCAAUGCAUAUGGGGAACAAAGUGAGGCUCUAUAGGAAGAAGCUCACAAAUUUGAGGCGUCUCUACAAGGAAGCCACACAUCCGUUAUUACAUUUGCCACAUGAGCAAGACCUUUGCCACUCAAAGAAUCCUAUACAUAUCACCUGCAAUUAUAUAUACAAUUCUUCUUAGUGUUGUUACCUUUGAUUUUGCAGUAUUUGUCCUGAUUGAUACUGUAUGAUUAUGUGUUGUUUUGCAGGUACUGAUCUUGGUGUCGAUUCCUACAUGAGCCAUCAGACACAACUUCGGUUGGUCAUAGGUUUCUUGGCUCUUUAGAGGAUUUGGGCCAGGGAUUCAAGAACUAAUGGUUUUCAUCCACACGUGUUUUAUUACGAUGCUAUCAAAAGCAGGGGCUGAGGUUUUCUUUCUUGGGCAACUGAGGCAGAAGAACCUGGUAAAUUGGUUGAGCAGUGCUAUGAGGAUGAACACAGGAUGCUGGUGUACAAGUUCAUGAGCAUUGGGAGCCCUAAGACACACCUCUUCAAAAGUAUAAAUUGCUCCCUUCCGUGGAUGACAAGGAUAAAAAUCGACAAGGAUGAAGAUUGCUAUUGGCGCGGCUAAGGGACUUUCUUGAUGCUAUCUCGCCAGUGAUCUACAAGGCCUACAACGUCUUGCUCGACUCGCGCGGGCUAUAACGUCAGUCUGAGCCUCCACGAGCUCGAUGCCCUCAGGGACCAGCACUCUACACGCUUGCCGAUGCAGUGGUCGUUUAGGUUGACUCGACGACUAGGUAGCAGCAGGAGCGGAUGUGAAAAAGCGGUGGUCAUCGAGGUCAACUUGACCUGCUAAGGGCCCGUUCGGAUCGUCUCCAGCUUCUAGCUUCGUCAUCUCCGCGCAUGGAGCAGGCCCGAACGCCGCAACUCCUAGAAGCUGGCUUCGUGGAGCAGCGUUGCCUCGCAGUGCAAAAACAAGAAGCAGCUCGAACCCGGCUCCCAAAAAUCGGAGGAGACGGAGUUGGGCAUUAUUACCCGAUAUGCCACCGCCAAGUGACCUCCGAGCAAUGUACCGGUUCACUUGAUCUGUUCUUUCUCUCCCCGAUACGUCCUCUCGCAGCGCCCUUGCAUAACUGGGCCAUCAACAGCUUGCCCUGGUACCAGCUGAAAGGGCCCAAUCGACCUUUCUGGGUUGGCAGCUCAUGCUGACCAAGCUGGAGCUGCCUCGCGCGGCCGAACGAUCGCUAGCUCCUCGCGGAAGCUAGCUGCGUUGGCUCCCGUAAGAAGCUGGCCUAAACAGAAGCCAGCGAGCUUCCGAACACGCCCUUAGUGUGCAUUUGCUUUUGAAGCACUUCUCUUCUUCGUAAUCAGUCAAUUAGGCUACAAAACUGCUACUUCUCUGUUCAUAUACGCUUAUCAAUAUGUAUGAUGCUCUCACCUAAUGUAUUUUGUGAAUGUGCAUUGCCAGUAUUGCAUUUCUACUGCUGUAUUUUAUUUUCCCAAUCAGUAAGAUGGUACUGUUACUACUA
Molecule: long non-coding RNA, 3132 nt
Organism: Triticum dicoccoides
Lineage: Eukaryota; Viridiplantae; Streptophyta; Magnoliopsida; Poales; Poaceae
Exons: 9
Source: RefSeq, a predicted model, not a curated record